UGCAGUCGCACGGCCAGGUUUCGGCCUGGCAGUGGCGGACGGGUGAGUAUCGCGUAGGGAUCUGUCCUGGGGUGGGGGAUAACCGAGGGAAACUUCGGCUAAUACCGCAUGAGGCCUGCGGGCCAAAGGCGCCGGUGACACGGUGGUCGCCUUGGGAGGAGCCUGCGUCCGAUUAGCUUGUUGGUGGGGUAAAGGCCUACCAAGGCUAUGAUCGGUAGCUGGUCUGAGAGGAUGAUCAGCCACACUGGGACUGAGACACGGCCCAGACUCCUACGGGAGGCAGCAGUGGGGAAUAUUGGACAAUGGGGGCAACCCUGAUCCAGCAAUGCCGCGUGGGUGAAGAAGGUCUUCGGAUUGUAAAGCCCUUUCGGCGGGGACGAUGAUGACGGUACCCGCAGAAGAAGCCCCGGCUAACUUCGUGCCAGCAGC
This 429-nucleotide ribosomal RNA is filed under the name uncultured bacterium. Its description in RNAcentral is "bacterial SSU rRNA". It matches the Rfam family "Bacterial small subunit ribosomal RNA", at positions 56 to 515 of the family's 1533-position model. The record is from RNAcentral.